RNAcentral lists this long non-coding RNA (492 nucleotides) under Homo sapiens (human). RNAcentral describes it as "HSALNT0370813". The record is from RNAcentral. Lineage: Eukaryota; Metazoa; Chordata; Mammalia; Primates; Hominidae.
AGAUCGCUUGAGCCCAGGAGUUUGAGACCAUCCUGGACAAGCUUGCAGGCCUCUGGGAAGCAAGCCAUCGUGUGGCAGAGGCCCAGGUGGCAAGGAACCAAGGGCGGCUUCUGGCCAACAGCCAGCGAGGACCUGAGACCGUAGCCCAACACCCCUCCAGGAACUGAAUUUUGCCAGCAACCAGUGAGUGACCUUGGAAGUGGAUCCUUCCCCCGAAAGCCCGGCUUUCAGACGGAGGCUGGUGGGACCUCAACCCCAGCUGGUAUCCAGGCUCUUGACACCAUCUGGAGAAGGAAUUCAAGAGUGUGUCAGAAAAUGAUGAAAGUACAAAGAUUUAUUGCAAAGCGAAAAAUACACACUCAAGAAAGGGGAGUAUGGGUGGACUCAAGACAGAGUCCGAUGGGACUUGGGGUUUCUACCUUUUGGGUUUCUUUUUUUUUUUUUUUUGAUAUGGAGUCUCGCACUGUUGCCCAGGCUGGAGCGCAGUGGCGU